RNAcentral lists this ribosomal RNA (106 nucleotides) under Erinaceus europaeus (western European hedgehog). The record is from RNAcentral. Lineage: Eukaryota; Metazoa; Chordata; Mammalia; Eulipotyphla; Erinaceidae.
GUCUAUGGCUAUACCACCCUGAUAUGCCCGAUCUCAUCUGAUCUCCGAAGCUAAGCAGGGUUGGGCCUAGUUAGUACUUGGAUGGGAGACUUUGGAUCCAUAUUCC